This is a long non-coding RNA of Heterocephalus glaber (naked mole-rat), 764 nucleotides long. Lineage: Eukaryota; Metazoa; Chordata; Mammalia; Rodentia; Bathyergidae. The record is from Ensembl.
CAUUUCUGGAAGCAAAAGGAUGUAGAACAAACCUAGCUACAGGAGCUACCCCUGUAAAUGGAGGAAUUCUCAGAGAAUAACUGUGGGCUUGGAGUGGGGUGGGGCAGGCGGUGAAAACAGAUUUCCAGGCAUUGCAAUGUUAGGAACUUCAAAAGAACUUUGUUUCUUGCCCAAGAGGAUGGGUUGCCAGUUACAGUAUGGGAGAUCUCACCCUCCCUAGUUCCAGAAAAGGACCACUUCAGAAAAGACACUUCCUAAAAUCAGAACUUGUUUGAAGAUUUUUUAAAAUCUGCUUCAGCAGUUGACGUCAGCAUUUGACUGGGAGCCCGGUAAAAGCUACUACACAGGGAACAGGGAACCAAGAAACUUUGGCAGUCUUCGAGUUGUGCUUAUUAACGGAACGACCUUCACAAGUAACCCAGCCUCUGGGAACCUGUUUUCUCAUUUUCAAACGGGGACUGAGAAGUUUUUGAUUCGGGUGUGAUAAAACGCUACAAAAAAGGGACCAGGUUCAGAUGAGCGUUACCAGUGGCUAAUUUGUGUCUGAUUAUGGUUGAAGGAAAAAAAGGAGUUUAGAGACACCUAGGAAAGGGAGGCAAAGGGACCCUUGAGGUAGCACCUCCGUCAAGCCUCAGCUCUUUCACAGAGCAAAAAUCUCCUUCGCACGGCGGACACGUCCUCUUUUAACUGGAAAACGAAUGUUCACUUUGGAUGAGUUUUGUCCUCAUUAGCAGAAAAUCCCAUUCUCCAAACUUUGUUUUUUU